Molecule: ribosomal RNA, 413 nt
Filed under: uncultured bacterium
Lineage: Bacteria
Description: bacterial SSU rRNA
Rfam family: Bacterial small subunit ribosomal RNA
Source: RNAcentral
GGGCCCGCACAAGCGGUGGAGCAUGUGGUUUAAUUCGAUGAUACGCGAGGAACCUUACCAGGGCUUAAAUGUAAGUUGCAUAAACUAGAGAUAGUUUUUUCUUCGGACUACUUACAAGGUGCUGCAUGGUUGUCGUCAGCUCGUGCCGUGAGGUGUCAGGUUAAGUCCUAUAACGAGCGCAACCCCUAUCGUUAGUUGCCAACAGGUUAAGCUGGGAACUCUAACGAGACUGCCGGUGCAAACCGCGAGGAAGGUGGGGAUGACGUCAAAUCAUCACGGCCCUUACGUCCUGGGCUACACACGUGCUACAAUGGCCGGUACAGAGAGCAGCCACUCCGCGAGGAGGAGCGAAUCUAUAAAACCGGUCUCAGUUCGGAUCGCAGUCUGCAACUCGACUGCGUGAAGCUGGAAUC